UAAAGUGAUUUUGUUGCAUUGUAUAAAUAUUUGUGGAUAAUAAUAGGUGUUUAAGAGUUUUUGGGUGAAGUGUUGAUAUUAGGAAAGCUCUGUAGUACAACAAAGAGGAGUCGAUUGAUGAAUUCGAAUACAUUGCCUUUCAAACGGAUACUUUUUAUAUUGCUUAAUACAGUAUAUAGGUGAGAUACUCUAGUCAACAUGACAUUAUAUAAGCUUUAAAAAAGUUACUCAUACGCCACGUCGUUUUAUGCAUUCCUGAAAUAUUUAACGAGUGGAAUGUUACUCAUCCGCCCCGUCUAUGUACUAGUGAUGAGCGAUAUUUCACUAAAGCUGAUUUUUUUAAUGUUUGAAAAAUCGUAUAUUGCAACUGCGAUCACAUUUUUAAAUAGGGGUUUCGAAGAAAUGAAUCAAGGAAAAGAAGUGAAGUGUGGCAGAUGUUUGAAGUGAUAGGAACAAGUCCAUCAUAGGCACCCUACAGUGGAACUAUCAACUCAAAAAGUGUACAUAAACAAGCAAUGCAUACUACAACUACUACUGUAAUUCAAACCGCCUCUAACUCGGAAGUUCCAAAAUACAUAUAUUGAUAAUGAGCCAGAAACAUUUAGACAAAUUGUUGCACAGAGAAGAGUUGAACCCUUUGAUGCUGCAAAGCUGCAAGAGUAUAAAAUGUUCGGUUGCCCCCGAACUUGGCCCCUCCUUACAUGUUAAUUUUAUUUAAUGUUUAAACCAAAUUUGAAAGCUUAUGUAAAUAAUUAAAA
Bactrocera latifrons is the source of this 758-nucleotide long non-coding RNA. RefSeq lists it as uncharacterized. The record is from RefSeq and is a predicted model, not a curated record. The transcript has 5 exons. Lineage: Eukaryota; Metazoa; Arthropoda; Insecta; Diptera; Tephritidae.